GCUAAUCCGAAUAUUUUAUGUACGCGCAGACACGUCUGGUCCAUUUUCUUCUUCCUUAUAACAUCAGCUCUUCAAUCAUCGUCGGUAUUAGCUUAACACUUUCUGAAGAAAUGGACGGCGUUCUGCGAUUUCCAAGUGCUUGCUUGACGUUUCACUUCAGGGCGCGAUAUUUGCUGCGUCCCUUCGUGUGAGGAAGGAUGCGUCUGCCCUGUUCCUUGAAUCGUACGGAUCGCCGCACCUGGUCCUAAGCAUCGGCGGCGCCCACCGGCAUGAGGGAACGUAAUGGCUUGUUCCUGAAGAAACAUAGAAUUGUUAAGGAAGAUCUAUCGAGUUGAACUCGUCCCGUCUGGAUGCAAAGGUGCGUGGCCCCUUUUAUAAAUAAAGCACAAACCUUAAAUACACCGCGGAACGAUAUAAUAUAAAAAAGGUGGCUACUACGGAUAAGUCGGAUGAUUUGUGCAGAAAAUCAUCCGCCUAACCAGCCGUACGAUCUGGACGCUGGUGAACGUCCGAUCUGGCGCAGCACGGGGAGCCGAUGCGUGCUAUCCAUGGCAACAUCGAGUGCAGCCCCCCGACGACACCCCCUCCUCCCUGGUGAAGCUCCAUUGCAAUCCCCAGGGGCGAGACGAAGCUGCAGCGCAGCACCGACAACGCCGGCGAAGCUCCAUUGCAGCACCAACAGCGCUCCAAUGCAUCACCGGCGGAGCUCCAUUGCAGCCUAACGACCCGGCGAUGCGCCGGCGAAACUCCAUUGAAGCACCACUGAUGCUUCAUUGCAGCCUCGGGCGACGCUUCAUUGCAGCCCCGACGGCACAGCAAAACUCCAACACAGCACCGACGGCACGCCGAUGAAGCUCCAUUGCUGCCGGAGUUGAGGGAGGUGCCCCGUCACAACAAUGGUGCUGCUGCAAAAACGCAUGGAUUGCAGCGCGAGAGUGUCAGUGGCGAGCAUGAGGCUUCCAUCGGUGCUGGCCGGAGUCGCCCUCACCCUCAACCUUGCUGCAACCGCGCCGUUCCGGUGCCGGUGUCGCCCCUCUCCCAGCCAUGGCGAGGAGCCGAGGAUGCAACAGCAGCGGCCAUGGCAAGGACGCAAACAACAGCGGCUGCUUCGCCCUUAUGAUUGCAGCAGCAACAAUGUUCGGGGUAGAGUAGCAUCAAGCUGCUGUCGGCGGCGCCCCUCCCGGUUCUCAGCUGUGGCCGUGGUGCUCGCCAUGGGAUGGGAGCCUCAUCCUCUCCUCUAGUACUACUGGGGAAGGAGGAGGAAAAGG
Molecule: ribosomal RNA, 1268 nt
Filed under: Triticum aestivum (bread wheat)
Lineage: Eukaryota; Viridiplantae; Streptophyta; Magnoliopsida; Poales; Poaceae
Description: partial small subunit ribosomal RNA
Source: RNAcentral